UACGGAGGGGGCAAGCGUUGUUCGGAUUUACUGGGCGUAAAGAGUUCGUAGGCGGUUGCGCAAGUCUGGUGUGAAAUCUUCGCCGCUCAACGGGAAGUCGCCACUGGAAACUGCGUAACUUGAGUGUGGUAGAGGCAGACGGAAUUCCUGGUGUAGCGGUGGAAUGUGUAGAUAUCAGGAAGAACAUCAGUGGCGAAGGCGGUCUGCUGGGCCAUUACUGACGCUGAGGAACGAAAGCGUGGGGAGCAAACGGG
RNAcentral lists this ribosomal RNA (254 nucleotides) under uncultured bacterium. RNAcentral describes it as "partial 16S ribosomal RNA". It matches the Rfam family "Bacterial small subunit ribosomal RNA", at positions 524 to 776 of the family's 1533-position model. The record is from RNAcentral.